This 449-nucleotide ribosomal RNA is filed under the name uncultured bacterium. RNAcentral describes it as "bacterial SSU rRNA". It matches the Rfam family "Bacterial small subunit ribosomal RNA", at positions 328 to 793 of the family's 1533-position model. The record is from RNAcentral.
CGCCCAGACUCCUACGGGAGGCAGCAGUGGGGAAUAUUGCACAAUGGGGGAAACCCUGAUGCAGCGACGCCGCGUGAGUGAAGAAGUAUUUCGGUAUGUAAAGCUCUAUCAGCAGGGAAGAAGAAGGACGGUACCUGAAAAAGAAGCCCCGGCUAACUACGUGCCAGCAGCCGCGGUAAUACGUAGGGGGCAAGCGUUAUCCGGAUUUACUGGGUGUAAAGGGAGCGUAGACGGAAAGGCAAGUCAGAAGUGAAAGCCCAGGGCUCAACCAUGGGACUGCUUUUGGAACUGUGUAGCUGGAGUGUCGGAGAGGCAGGCGGAAUUCCUAGUGUAGCGGUGAAAUGCGUAGAUAUUAGGAGGAACACCAGUGGCGAAGGCGGCCUGCUGGACGAUGACUGACGUUGAGGCUCGAAAGCGUGGGGAGCAAACAGGAUUAGAUACCCGUGUAU